RNAcentral lists this ribosomal RNA (407 nucleotides) under uncultured bacterium. Its description in RNAcentral is "bacterial SSU rRNA". It matches the Rfam family "Bacterial small subunit ribosomal RNA", at positions 976 to 1381 of the family's 1533-position model. The record is from RNAcentral.
UAGCCUUGACAUUGAUUGAACACACUAGAGAUAGAGUGGUGCCCUUCGGGGAACAUGAAAACAGGUGCUGCACGGCUGUCGUCAGCUCGUGUCGUGAGAUGUUGGGUUAAGUCCCGCAACGAGCGCAACCCUCGUCCUUAGUUGCUAGCAGUUCGGCUGAGCACUCUAAGGAGACUGCCUUCGUAAGGAGGAGGAAGGUGAGGACGACGUCAAGUCAUCAUGGCCCUUAUGGCUAGGGCUACACACGUGCUACAAUGGGGCGUACAGAGUGUUGCGAUACCGCGAGGUGGAGCUAAUCACUUAAAGCGUCUCUCAGUUCGGAUAGCAGUCUGCAACUCGACUGCUUGAAGCUGGAAUCACUAGUAAUCGUAGAUCAGCAAUGCUACGGUGAAUACGUUCCCGGGUCU